Molecule: transfer RNA, 71 nt
Filed under: Neotoma lepida (desert woodrat)
Lineage: Eukaryota; Metazoa; Chordata; Mammalia; Rodentia; Cricetidae
Rfam family: tRNA
About the family: Transfer RNA (tRNA) molecules are approximately 80 nucleotides in length.
Source: Rfam by way of RNAcentral
UAGGGUGUGGCUCAGUAGUAGAGCGCUUGCCUAGCAUGCAGGAGGCCUGGGCUCCAUCCCCAGCACUGCAA